Molecule: long non-coding RNA, 371 nt
Organism: Cynara cardunculus var. scolymus (artichoke)
Lineage: Eukaryota; Viridiplantae; Streptophyta; Magnoliopsida; Asterales; Asteraceae
Exons: 3
Source: RefSeq, a predicted model, not a curated record
GAACAGCAGAAGGAGACUUCCGAUUUGAAGAUCUGGUAUCUUUUUUCUGGGUUUGAAGAAUAGCACCACCGUCCGGAGACGAUCCAACGGAUUCGGUUUCUUGGUUCGGUGAUCAACGACAUUUUCACCAACUUGAUCGUUGUAAUCAAUCGCAAUAUCUGAAGAAAUCGAUGACCGUGAACGAAUCGUCUUUGGUUGAUCCUGAUUCGGUCUCUGUAGAUCCAAACACAUUCCAUCCAACCGAAUAUUAUUCAAUCAUCCAACUUAAACUGUGCAAGUGAAGAAUUUGAACAUAAUUACCUUUGAUUGAUCAAAUUCUUUAUAUCUCGAUACCAUUUUGAUUUUUUUAUUUCUAAAUUAUGUACAUUGUU